GACGAACGCUGGCGGCGUGCUUAACACAUGCAAGUCGAGCGGUAAGGCCCUUUCGGGGGUACGACGAGCGGCGAACGGGUGAGUAACACGUGGGUGACCUGCCCUCAGCUCUGGGAUAAGCCUGGGAAACCGGGUCUAAUACUGGAUAUGACUCCAUGACGCAUGUUGUGGGGUGGAAAGCCUUGUGCGGCUGAGGAUGGGCCCGCGGCCUAUCAGCUUGUUGGUGGGGUGAGGCCUACCAAGGCGACGACGGGUAGCCGGCCUGAGAGGGCGACCGGCCACACUGGGACUGAGACACGGCCCAGACUCCUACGGGAGGCAGCAGUGGGGAAUCUUGCGCAAUGGGCGAAAGCCUGACGCAGCGACGCCGCGUGAGGA
This 378-nucleotide ribosomal RNA is filed under the name uncultured bacterium. RNAcentral's name for it is "bacterial SSU rRNA". It matches the Rfam family "Bacterial small subunit ribosomal RNA", at positions 28 to 407 of the family's 1533-position model. The record is from RNAcentral.